AUUGAACGCUGGCGGCAUGAUUUACACAUGCAAGUCGAACGGUAACAGGCCGCAAGGUGCUGACGAGUGGCGAACGGGUGAGUAAUGCAUCGGAACGUGCCCAGUCGUGGGGGAUAACUACUCGAAAGAGUAGCUAAUACCGCAUACGAUCUAUGGAUGAAAGCGGGGGACCGUAAGGCCCCGCGCGAUUGGAGCGGCCGAUGUCAGAUUAGGUAGUUGGUGGGGUAAAGGCUCACCAAGCCAACGAUCUGUAGCUGGUCUGAGAGGACGACCAGCCACACUGGGACUGAGACACGGCCCAGACUCCUACGGGAGGCAGCAGUGGGGAAUUUUGGACAAUGGGCGCAAGCCUGAUCCAGCAAUGCCGCGUGCAGGAAGAAGGCCUUCGGGUUGUAAACUGCUUUUGUACGGAACGAAACGGCUCUGGUUAAUACCCGGGGCUAAUGACGGUACCGUAAGAAUAAGCACCGGCUAACUACGUG
RNAcentral lists this ribosomal RNA (482 nucleotides) under uncultured bacterium. RNAcentral's name for it is "partial 16S ribosomal RNA". It matches the Rfam family "Bacterial small subunit ribosomal RNA", at positions 30 to 507 of the family's 1533-position model. The record is from RNAcentral.